AUCCCGCCGCGUGCCAAAGGUGCCCGCGCUGAUCCGCGGGAUAAUAGGGAAUCGGGUGUAACUCCCGAACUGUCCCCGCAACUGUAAGCGCCGAGCUUUGCAACAGAUGUCACUGGUCCGCCGGGAAGACGUUGCGAGCGUCAGAGGCGCGAGUCAGGAGACCUGCCUUGGCUGUCGUCCUUUG
Molecule: non-coding RNA, 184 nt
Filed under: Asticcacaulis sp.
Lineage: Bacteria; Pseudomonadati; Pseudomonadota; Alphaproteobacteria; Caulobacterales; Caulobacteraceae
Source: RNAcentral